CAUGGCUUUUGUUUGAAAGAUGGCUUUGGCUAUCACUCUGGGAUGGACCUGCGGUGCAUUAGCUAGUUGGUAAGGUAACGGCUUACCAAGGCGAUGAUGCAUAGCCGAGUUGAGAGACUGAUCGGCCACAAUGGAACUGAGACACGGUCCAUACUCCUACGGGAGGCAGCAGUAGGGAAUCUUCCACAAUGGGCGCAAGCCUGAUGGAGCAACACCGCGUGAGUGAAGAAGGGUUUCGGCUCGUAAAGCUCUGUUGUUGGAGAAGAACGUGCGUGAGAGUAACUGUUCACGCAGUGACGGUAUCCAACCAGAAAGUCACGGCUAACUACGUGCCAGCAGCCGCGGUAAUACGUAGGUGGCAAGCGUUAUCCGGAUUUAUUGGGCGUAAAGCGAGCGCAGGCGGUUGCUUAGGUCUGAUGUGAAAGCCUUCGGCUUAACCGAAGAAGUGCAUCGGAAACCGGGCGACUUGAGUGCAGAAGAGGACAGUGGAACUCCAUGUGUAGCGGUGGAAUGCGUAGAUAUAUGGAAGAACACCAGUGGCGAAGGCGGCUGUCUGGUCUGCAACUGACGC
RNAcentral lists this ribosomal RNA (571 nucleotides) under Limosilactobacillus reuteri. RNAcentral's name for it is "bacterial SSU rRNA". It matches the Rfam family "Bacterial small subunit ribosomal RNA", at positions 188 to 746 of the family's 1533-position model. Lineage: Bacteria; Bacillati; Bacillota; Bacilli; Lactobacillales; Lactobacillaceae. The record is from RNAcentral.